Molecule: ribosomal RNA, 497 nt
Filed under: uncultured bacterium
Lineage: Bacteria
Description: partial 16S ribosomal RNA
Rfam family: Bacterial small subunit ribosomal RNA
Source: RNAcentral
GAUGAACGCUGGCGGCGUGCCUAAUACAUGCAAGUCGAGCGAACAGACGAGGAGCUUGCUCCUCUGACGUUAGCGGCGGACGGGUGAGUAACACGUGGAUAACCUACCUAUAAGACUGGGAUAACUUCGGGAAACCGGAGCUAAUACCGGAUAAUAUAUUGAACCGCAUGGUUCAAUAGUGAAAGACGGUUUUGCUGUCACUUAUAGAUGGAUCCGCGCCGCAUUAGCUAGUUGGUAAGGUAACGGCUUACCAAGGCGACGAUGCGUAGCCGACCUGAGAGGGUGAUCGGCCACACUGGAACUGAGACACGGUCCAGACUCCUACGGGAGGCAGCAGUAGGGAAUCUUCCGCAAUGGGCGAAAGCCUGACGGAGCAACGCCGCGUGAGUGAUGAAGGUCUUCGGAUCGUAAAACUCUGUUAUUAGGGAAGAACAAAUGUGUAAGUAACUAUGCACGUCUUGUCGGUACCUAAUCAGAAAGCCACGGCUAACUACGUG